RNAcentral lists this ribosomal RNA (497 nucleotides) under uncultured bacterium. RNAcentral describes it as "partial 16S ribosomal RNA". It matches the Rfam family "Bacterial small subunit ribosomal RNA", at positions 28 to 507 of the family's 1533-position model. The record is from RNAcentral.
GAUGAACGCUGGCGGCGUGCCUAAUACAUGCAAGUCGAGCGGACGGACGAGAAGCUUGCUUCUCUGAUGUUAGCGGCGGACGGGUGAGUAACACGUGGAUAACCUACCUAUAAGACUGGGAUAACUUCGGGAAACCGUAGCUAAUACCGGAUAAUAUUUUGAACCGCAUGGUUCAAAAGUGAAAGACGGUCUUGCUGUCACCUAUAGAUGGAUCCGCGCUGCAUUAGCUAGUUGGUAAGGUAACGGCUUACCAAGGCAACGAUGCAUAGCCGACCUGAGAGGGUGAUCGGCCACACUGGAACUGAGACACGGUCCAGACUCCUACGGGAGGCAGCAGUAGGGAAUCUUCCGCAAUGGGCGAAAGCCUGACGGAGCAACGCCGCGUGAGUGAUGAAGGUCUUCGGAUCGUAAAACUCUGUUAUUAGGGAAGAACAUAUGUGUAAGUAACUGUGCACAUCUUGACGGUACCUAAUCAGAAAGCCACGGCUAACUACGUG